ACUAUUUUGACAGAAAUAAUGUGAUGAUUUUAGAAGUCAUAAAUAUAUAAAAAUGUUAUAUAGAUAGUA
This 69-nucleotide transfer RNA is filed under the name Phocoderma betis. Its description in RNAcentral is "tRNA-Leu". The record is from RNAcentral. Lineage: Eukaryota; Metazoa; Arthropoda; Insecta; Lepidoptera; Limacodidae.